This 1875-nucleotide long non-coding RNA is filed under the name Homo sapiens (human). Its description in RNAcentral is "non-protein coding TMEM161B-AS1:30". The record is from RNAcentral. Lineage: Eukaryota; Metazoa; Chordata; Mammalia; Primates; Hominidae.
CUUCAAGAUAAGAGUUGCAGAAAGUGGGUGGUAGUAUAAAUCAAGAUUGGUUAUGAGUUGAGAAUUUUUGAGUAAUAGGUAUAUGGGGACUAAGUAUUCUAUUCUUCAUACUUUUACAUGCCGUAAAUCCCCACUUAUCUGCAGGGAAUGUGUUCCAAGACCCCCAGUGGAUGCCUGAAACUGAGAAUAGUACUGGACCCUGUAUAUACUGUGUUUUUUCUUUCCUUAUUGAGAACUUUUAUGUUUUCACUUAAAGGAAGGACUUUACAGCUUCUCUUUCGCAUAUCCAAAUUGCCAGCAUCACCGCUCUUGCACUCCAAGCCAUUAUUAAGUAAAGUAAAGAACACAAACACUGUGAUACUGCUACACUUGAUCUGAUAACCAAGAAGUCUACUAAGUGACUAACAGGUGGGUAGCAUAUACAGCAUAGAUACACUGGACAAAGGGAGGACUCACAUCCUGGGCAAGAUGGAGCAGAAUGGCAGAGUUCAUCAUGCUGCUCAAAAUGAUGUGCAAUUUAAAACUAAUGAAUUAUUUCUGGAAUUUUUCAGUUAAUAUUUUUGGACAUGAGGUGACUGCAGUUAACUAAAACCAUGGAAAGCAAACCCAUAGAUAAAGGGAUACUAUGAGCAACUGGGAACCUAAUUCUGACCAAAAAGGAGGAAUUGUUUGGCUAAUUGGAAGUGACAGAAACCUUGGGAGAAAGCAACCGCAUACCAAGGAUAAUUAUAAGAAGGUAACAUGGGCCCUAAAGGAUAGUGUCAAGAAACCUGAAACCCCCAAAUGAGGUGAGACUUGCAAAAAAUGCUAAGGAAGGACAAAAAACAGGCCUUUUAAAAUUCUGUUCAGAACCAGAAGAUGAUCAAGAAAGGGAAAUGCCCACUAGCAGCUUCUACUGUAAGGUUAGAGCUGACAGAGAAAGAACUCCUUAACUACUAUUUGCUUCAUUCUCUACAAAGGAAACUAGAGAAGUGGGUUGAUGUAAUAGAAAGAACAUGUGUUUGUGGGGCCAGGCAAACCUGGGUUUAAUUCUGUUUCAACACUGCUUAACAAAAUUUAUGGGAGGCUAUUGUUUUGGAUUGGGCUCCUGCACCAGGCCCCUCCGGACCAAACCAAAAUGGAGUCACUCAUACUAAAACUCCAGGUCACUGAACCAAAACUAAGUUGUUUAUCUGACCUUCCAAGAAAUCAGGAGGGAGAAAACAACCAAAUCUCCAAACAGGCCAGUUUUAAUCAGCGUGAUAAGGAAGUCCUCUCUUUUUUAACCCUAUAAAGAAAGUAACUUUUUGAAAUGAUCAAUACACUUUGUAUUCCUUAGUUCUGCUUUCUUUAGCCCCUUUCUGCCUAUAAAGCCCACUUCCUCUGCUCAACUUACUGAAGCAGUAUUCCAUUUUAUAGAAUGAGAUGCUGCCCAAUUCUGGAAUCACUAAUAAAAGCCAAUUAGAUCUUUACAUUUGUUGAAAUUUUGUCUUUGACAACAUUACUAGUUAUAUUAUUCUGGGUAUCCUUUUCCCCAUCUGUAAAAUGGACAUAGCGAUAUCCUUCCCAUCAGAUUUUUCUCAUUAAUAGAAGUAAUACAUUCAAAACACUGAGCCAGGCUCACACCAGUGAGCAACUUGUUAAUAUUACUCAGAAGCAUAUUAUAGAUAUUGACAGAAAGCAAUACUGUUCCUAAUUAGGGGAAGAAAUUCUAAGAGAGUACCUAAGAGUUUGAAUUUAGAUUAUAACAUUUGCUCUGAGUAUUUUACAUUACAGCCUUUGGGGGGAAAAGUACAAAUGAGAUCUGAGAACAGUGGUACUCAUCUUUGAGGAAUUAUGGAAAACGUAAUAGAACACUAAACAUGGGAAAACAUCGGCCUUCAGGUUGAAAAGUGG